This 743-nucleotide long non-coding RNA is filed under the name Pan troglodytes (chimpanzee). Its description in RNAcentral is "long non-coding RNA NONPTRT015300". The record is from RNAcentral. Lineage: Eukaryota; Metazoa; Chordata; Mammalia; Primates; Hominidae.
GCUGCGGAAGGAGGGAGGUGCCUAGAGAGCUUCUGGAUGGGGGCUAGCCACCAGAAAGAUCCAGCCAGGAUUAAAAGGUGAAGAUUUUAACUGUCAAUCAAAAGGGAGAUACGGAAGAAGUAUAGAGCAGAUAACACUGUGAAAGAAUUGACGCAAACAAGCCCAGUGUGGCGGCUCAUGUCUGUAAUAUGUUCUUCUGAAACAAAUUCUGUCAACUCCAUCACAAAUGAGUCUGUGGAAGAACCAAUGCUGAAAGCAUCUCAGUAAACAAAUAUGGCCCAAUAAACUCAAGUUUCUAAUGGGCAGGCAUAUAGGGGAUGGCGAGAAGGCACAUAAUAGAGCUCAAACAAAAGCAAAAAGCAAAUGACAGAAGUCUAUAGGAAUAAGCAUAGAAAAUGAAAGCUCAGCAUAUGCAGAAGUUUGUAAACAAUGCAAAGGAAAACUAACGAGAAAAUUAUAGGGAUGUUGAGAGGCUGAAGAGGCAAGAAGCAAUAGGCCCACUGGGUGAAGUUAAGCUGUAAGAGAGAGAAAAUAGGUCUAGUCCAAUCCUAUUUUUAGCUUUAGCAAAGAGAAUAGGCAAAAAAUUAAAAAGGAUGACAUAUCCAUGGCUAAGAAGAAAGUGAAAUCCAGGAUGAAGUCUCUAGUCCUGUCAAAGCAACCCUCUGAGUUGCAGUAUCAUUACCAGUAAUCUCAGAAGAAUCACUGAGAAAGAAAAUUGGAAGUAGGAAAAAAAAAAAAAAACA